GAGAGACUAGAGUCUAGAUUAAAACAUAGAACUAUACUGGUUAUAAUUGCUAUAUGUUUCCGAAUUAUAUGUUAAUGAUAUGUGUUUCAUUGCCAUACAUGUUUCAAUUUAGGACUAGCAAACUCUGUGACAUUCAAACGCAAUUUAUUCUCUUCUGUACUGUCUGCUGACAGACGUUCUAAAAUCGAGAUUCCUUAAAAAAUUGAACCUUACAGGAAUCCUAUAUAUAACUUCAAUAAUGACGUGUUUUAAGUCAGUCAAGAUUUCUGACCUCGACUCGAGAUGAACAAGCUUUCGUUGGUCCCUACUGAAAAAUACCUUCGUCUCAGAUGAAAGGCCUUCGCCUUCGGUCGAAAUUCUCCUUACAUUUUUCAGAUAGUUGCAUUCAUUGAUAGUUCAUAUUAUUGCCACACUGACACAGAGAGUUCAAGAUAUUAGAGGCUACAUGUAGCACAGAUACCCAUAAUAAGACGAGUGAUAGCAACGGAACUAUAACAGC
This is a non-coding RNA of Paramuricea clavata, 499 nucleotides long. Lineage: Eukaryota; Metazoa; Cnidaria; Anthozoa; Malacalcyonacea; Plexauridae. The record is from the annotation of a GenBank genome assembly.